CCUCCUUAGAGAUGCCACCUCCCCCACCACCCACCCCUAAUUUGUGCCUUGCCUCCCCACCCUGGAGUAGUCCCUCCGGGUCACCAGCACUGCCUUGGCAGAGCCCACUCCCUACCCUAACCUGCCCACCCUCCCUGCCCCCCAGCAUUAGGUUGAGACUGUGGGGAAGUGCUGGGGGUUGGGAGGUAGCCGAGGAAUGGGGCAGUUCCCGGGGGCAUUGAAACCAAGUAUUAUUAUGAAUUGUAAUUGUAUUUGCACUGUUUUUUUUCUCUGAUUGCAUCAGCAUAUAUACAAUAUACCUAUAUAACAAAAUUCAGUGUCAAGCUUUCUUAUGCAAGGGAUUUCCCCACCCCCAAAAAAGAACCUAGUUUCAUGGGCCUUUGAGGGUGUAUUGUCAGGAGAUGAUAGAAAUAAUUUAAAUAAGUCAUCCUAAGAAAGUCUCCCUUAGGGGAGAGCCAUAUCCAUCUGUGCACAGUUUUAGGCUUUGCAAAUUGGGGUGAGGCUGGGUUACUGCAAGACUCCGAGACCAGACUGUGGAGAAUAGAGAGAACCACAGCACAAAGGAGGUGGGAUGGUGGCACAGUCUGGAGACCUGGGGUUUAGUCUCGAGCUUUCCUGCUGACUUGUUAUGUGACCUUUGAUAGAGCUAAUUUUCGGGGUCUCAGUUUUAUUUGUGAAGUGAUGGCAGGCAGGGGAGAUCCUCUAGCCACCACGAAGUUUGUAAAGCUUUCUUCCCCAACUGAAAACAAAACAACUUGAGGGGAGGAAACCAAAGUGGCUAGUACUGAAGUGGGUAUAUGUGUGACAGUGCCCGUGGAGAGCUGCCAGGCCCCUGCUGUUCCUUUUGGUUUAGGAAAGGCAGCAGAGUGAUGUUUAGAACUUCAGUUAAAUCUGGGACAUCUUUGCCCUCAUGCCUCUAGCCACCCAAGGGCAGGAACCAGGCCCCAAGCCCCACCUCACAAGCAACUGCCCUCAAGGGUGGUUGACCAAUGAAUACUCCAGGUUGGUGGUCACUCACACCCUUUGUGAGCUACAGAAUGCAGAUCUUUCCCCCAUUUCUUGGUUGGAGAGCUCAGAUAUAGUCCACAUCUUGUCUCCUUCCCUCAGAUCUCAUCUGAACCCCGUUAAAGGCAGCUCUCAACAGCUAUUUCCUUCAGGGGCCCAGUUUCCCCACAGCCUGGGCUGAGUACUCCCACUGUAGGUUCUUGGCUGGUAAAGCCUGGAGAGGAUAUAGGAUGGUGGGUGAAGCCCUGGUGAAGGUGGAAGGAUAGAUUGGUGGUGGGGGGUGGGGAGCAGGGAGGUGGGAUGGGGAAUGGCCUUCUCUGAAUGGGGUGGGUGGGAGGGAAACAAGACCCUUUUGCACAACUCUUUUAAGUUUCCUUUUUUAAAAAAAAAAAAAAACUCAUUCUGAUUUUCUGCAUUGUGUUUGGGAAUUAAAAUGAAAAAACUAAGACCAAUAGAAACUGGUUUUCAAAAAGGCAAAUACACUCCCAUCUGUUUCAGAUGCUGCUGAGCAUUUCAGCGGUGACAGAUUCAAAUAAUAAGCUAAUUUUUGGAGAAAGGAUUAAAAGAAAAAAAAACUUUGUAAUAUUUAUCACUUGCAAGCUAUGUUUAAUAAAGAAAGGAAUGGUUUCUAAA
Long non-coding RNA from Ovis aries (sheep), 1638 nucleotides. NCBI's taxonomy places the organism in Eukaryota, Metazoa, Chordata, Mammalia, Artiodactyla, Bovidae. The record is from Ensembl.